Molecule: long non-coding RNA, 36663 nt
Filed under: Triticum aestivum (bread wheat)
Lineage: Eukaryota; Viridiplantae; Streptophyta; Magnoliopsida; Poales; Poaceae
Description: long non-coding RNA (TAES_LNC015327)
Source: RNAcentral
UGUAGAGAACUUGACACUUGACUUAAUUAAAAUGAAUCAACCGCAUGUGUAGUCGUGAUGGUCUCUUUUCGGUGGAGUCUGGGAAGUGAACAUAGUUUGUGUUAUGGUUGUACGUAAGUAGUUCAGGAUCACUUCUUGAUCACUUCUAGCUUCACGACCGUUGCGUAGCAUCUCCUCUUACUCUUAUACUCAUAUGUUAGCCACCAUAUUUUGCUUAGCGCUUGCUGCAACUCCACCUCAUUACCACAUCCUACCCAUAAGCUUAAAUAGUCUUGAUCUCACGGGUUUUGAGAUUGCUGAGUCCUCGUGACUCACAGAUACUACCAAAACAGUUGCAGGUGCUGAUGAUACUAGUGUAGGUGAUGCUACUGAACUCAAGUGGGAGUUCGACGAGGACCACGGUCGUUACUAUGUAUCAUUUCCGGAUGAUCAGUAGUGGAGCCCAGUUGGGACGAUCGGGGAUCUAGCAUUUGGGGUUAUCUUCUUUUUCAUUUGUAUUUGACCGUAGUCGGUCUAUGUGUAUUUUGGAUGAUGUAUGAGUUAUUUAAGUAUUGUGUGACGUGGCGAUUGUAAGCCAACUCUAUUUAUCCCUUUCUUGUUCAUUACAUGGGAUGUUGUGAAGAUGACCCUUCUUGCGACAAACCCACUAUGUGGUUAUGCCUCUAAGUCGUGCCUCAACACAUGGCAGAUAUAGCCGCAUCAUGGGUGUUACAAUUAUACUUGAUUUUCUUUGUUGACUGACCUCUUGUUUUUGCUGUUGCUAGUAGGGAGGUGGAGGAGGAUAUGGAAACCCUCAUGCACCGGCCACGGAGGGCCCGGCCUUGGUGGGGAGCAACACAGAGGACCCUGCACCGAGCCCCAGUCCAGCCCCCCGCCUGGAAGUGGGGGACGUCCUCUUCCACUGGAGGCGAUGGGGACGGGCUUCCUGCUCCCUCGGCCGGAGGGGAUGGUGAGACGAUGUAGGGUGAGCCCCUCCUAGAAGGGAAUGUACCCUCCGCCAACCGAGCCGAAGAACCUCCAACGGGACCCUCCGCGUAUGAGACCGCACAGAGUGCUACUACGACUGCCACGACAGGGGUGGAGUCCAUAGCCCGGCAACCGAUGCUGCUAGGGAAACUGAGGCCCCUGCCCGACAGACCUCUCCAGUUAUAUAACUCCCAUUCUUUUUUAUUUCUUGUUCAUAUCACCUCUCCUUAUUUUCCACUUAUCUGAAACUUCUAUCUCUUUGUCAUUCGCCCAUUCUCUUCCCUGCAGUCCCCGAGGCUGAAGAGCCAGAGCUACUGGAAGAGGUGGCCGGCAUAGGGAGAACUGCAGUGGAUGAGGCCGCCAAGAUCGCUACUAUGGAGGAGUUGGACCUCGUUACCGAGCAUGCUGAAGAUUCCUUGGCGGUGGUGGAGCAUUCUUCGGAGAACAUCUCGAAGGAGGAAGUGGUGGUUGAGGGGAAAAUUCCUCUACAGACCAUGGAUCCCCUUCCAUCCUCCGGGAUCAUUAUGGGGACCUCGCCACCCCCUGAAAUCAGCUGGCGCCGGUGCUGGCGCAGUCCGGGACUGGAGCCCCCGGCCCAUCUAUGAUGAUGGGCGCAGAGCUCAACAAAGAGCUUCAAUGCAUCCUGGCACCACUGUAACAGGGGGUUGGAGAGGCGGAUGAUUCAGUUGGCGUCGCUAUGGACUUGUCUGUUCUGGCGUCCAUGGUGACGGGUGUCAAAGAAAUGCAGGCCCGACACGACCAGAAGUGGCAGGCGCUCAAGGAACAGCGUGAGUCCGCCAGCAGGGUGUACCAAAAGUUGAAGGACAAUUGCUCGCAGCUGCGCGAAUGGCAUGGCAAGCAGUUCAAGGUACUCAUGAGGCAGCAAGAGACGCUCCUGAUGACAAGGGAAGAUGUGAUGGCCCGCGAAACGUGUCUCGUGGACCGCAAAGCACUCCUAGACGCCAGGGAGCAAGAGAUCUCUCUCCGGGAGGAGAAGCUCGAAGCCACCCUUUGUGCCAAGGACGACAAUCUGGAGGCUCUUGUACGACAGUGUACCAAGGAGUUGGAUGACAAGCACGGAGCUGCCCUGGACGCCCUUGCCACAGACUAUACCACCCAAUUGAAGAAGCUCACUGAAGACCUGGCUGCCGCAUUUGCUGCCAAGACUGGCCUUUACCAGCGGGUGGCUAAACUGACCGAGGACCUUGCCAGGAGCACCAAGGAGCUGGAGCCCUCAAAGACGAAGCACGGAAGGCAGAUGUUCUUCUGACCAACACGUGGUCACAGCUCUCCUCCAAAGUCCAGAUCCUUGAGACCGCUAACGACACCAUCACGGAUCUGAAGGCCAGGAUCGGCACCUUGGAAAGCUCGGCAGAGUCCAUCGAAGCCCGUCAACAGUUACGGACCAAAGAUCUGGACACUGCCAAGCGCCUCCAGAAAGAUGCAGAAGACCAGGUGGCGAGUCAAUCCGAACAGGUCAAUCUCUUGAUCAGGAGCUUGAUUGACAUCGCCAUGCGCCUUGCUGCCCAGACUGUAGUGAUGGGCAUGGAUGGGCCAGCUUUCUCGAUCAACAGGCAUGCGGUUCCUAGCGCCAAGUUGGGAGUCUUCUUCAACGAGCUGAUCGACAAGCUGAAGGUGCAUGAAGAGGGAAGGGCCAAGCGCUUCGAGAUCGAGUCCCGGAAGCUCGCCCACGACGCCCUCCUCAUGGUCCUGAGCAAUAUUGCCUAUCGCCAUCAAGAUCUUGACCUCGACGAUGGUUUCAGGAAGCCGUCGGUGGGUGCCGAUGUCACAGCUACCAAGGAGAAAGCCGCCCCUCGGGCCGCCAAGUUCCUCCACAUCCCAACAGCUUCACGCAGUCGUCAUACCAAGUGAUGAACUGUUGUUGCUCUCGUGCUAUCCUGUAAUAAGACAUGACAUAUGCUUUGUGUUUAGGUACUGUACUAUUUUAUGCUUGUGUGGAACUGAUUUCCUCUGUUGAACCAUAAAUGCCUGUUUAUCCCUUUGAGCUUAUACACCUGUGUUCGUACGAUUAGUCCCUAUAUAUGUUGUGGAUGCUUGCCGGUAUCAUAUUGUCGCGAUUGUCGUAAGUGUCUGGCCCCUAACACUCAUCUUGGCAUGGAUGCAUUGCUUCAAGUUUUUCCUAGGUAGCUCUCGACGCACCCUCUCAUUCUGUGAUCAUGGCUCGAGACAGAACGAUGGUGCAGACAAAGAAACUAGACAAGGUUCCAUCACACGAGGGUUUUCAUAAUACGAACACUUACUAAAUCCAAGGCAUAAACGAUCGCAAAAAUCUAAGAAGCAUCAAUAAGAAAUGAUAGUGUGAACUUAGCUUUUGUUCUCGCUCCUCCUCAUCCCUUUUGGCUGCGUGCAUUUGGUGUGCCCGCGAUGUCCCAAAGGAUGGAAGCCAAACAAAUGUCUCUCUGGUUCCCAGCAGGGACCAACGCACGUCAUGCGGGUCUGGCGGGCAGUGGGAUAUAGUGUUGGGCUCUUCCGGUCCAUUUUCCUCUUCCCCACUCCUUCCAAGCAACCCGGCAACAACCUUCACAUGGAUCACGCCAAUGCGGACGGCCUUGCCGAAGCACACUUGCCGGGGCGUCGAUCAAUGGAUUCAUACCAGCGUUUUACUCAGGAUUUCCCCAAGCUGGGUAAAUGAUGAACCGAGUAUUGCACAGUACUCAUCGACAUUGACGGCGCCAGGGCCAAAGCGGCUCAGUUGUUGAUGAACGAGAGAGAUGGAAAAGAGGAGCCUCGCACCUGCGCACCUUGUCUCUUCUCUCCGAACAACGCCUGAGCAGUGGUCAUGGUGCAUGGGGCGCCGACAGGAGCAUACCACCACCGGCAACGAUCUUCGUUGUGACUGCGACUACGCCGGAAUGAAGUAAUGGAUAAGGCGGGUGUGGGGACGGCCUGCUCCCUCACUCCAUCUUGAUAUAUCCAUAGGCGUCAGUGGCGCAAAAAGCUUCGACUGGGCUACCACGGAUAUGACACGCGCCUCACGCCUUCGGGUUCGCGCAAGUGAUCCCCCUACCUGGCGCGCCAAAGAUGUCGCGGGAAACCACAGACACCUAUGGGACCAAGAGCCCCUUUCUGGUUCGGUAGGGGGAUGGCACGUUGCACAAAGAGCGAAAAAACAUGAGACGACAGGACAGAGAUCACACAGGCAAUUUUACCCAAGUUCGGGCCACCGUGAGGCGUAAAACCCUACUCCUGCUUUGGUGAAUUGAUGUGGAGAUAAUGGUGGUGAACGCAACUCGCUUGCCCGGCAGGGUUGCCUUGGGCGAGAGCGGUUACGCGCCUAUGAGUGUAUAGAUGUCUAGUUUCUCCAACCGAGGGUCCAACCCUUUCUACGGUUGCCACAGGCCUCCUUUCAUAGACAAAGGGGUCACCACAGUGGAAAAUCAGUCGUUAUGCAUUGAUUAGAUCGCAAACAGUGCUAUCAUACCUAACUCUGUAGGCUGAUAGAGCACAUUAAAUGCGCCACUCAACGUCACAUUGCAGCUUGCCCGGCAGGGGCUGCCAAGCUAUUUUGCCAGCUUUGCAUCUGCUCGCUCGACACGUUGCAGGACGGAUGUCACUUGUAGGCUUUUUUGUAUGAAAUGGCUGUCAAGUGGUGGAUAGCAGCCACUUAGACACCUUGGAGCUUGAAACUGCACAGAUCGAUGACUUGGGUCGUGCUGAGGUGGUGCGGUGGGUCGGCUCUGUCUCCGUGAGUCCAGGCAGGCCUCCCGGGACGCCUCGAAAGCUUGCUUCCGGGGUAAACCCCGUCCUCGCUAGGCUCGCCUACCCAGCAAGGGAGGCUUUUCUCUUGGUGUGUCUUGCUUCUCUAGCUUCUCUUGGUCUUCUUGAUCCGCAUGUUGGAUCCUUGAAGAUCUGAUCUCUUGUGCUUUGCCCGACCUUGGUGCUACAAUCUUGCUCUCGUGCCUACGUCUUCAUCGUUCGUGCACGAGUCAAGGUAAAAUGUAUACCCUUGUAUGUUUGCCCAUACAUUAACCAUAUCAAUACUAGGUUCUACCUUGAUUUGUUCAGCUGGUUUAGGUGUUCUAAUAUAACUUUUAUUAACCAUAGUUGAAACUUUAGCAUGUUGCUUUAUCCUUACAGGGAAAGGUGGUUUUUUCAAUAUAAGUAGUAGGAUCAACUGGAUUAACAUUAUAAAUUAUAGUUUCAUCUUUACCAACUAUAGGUUCUUUAAUUUCUUCUUUCAUAGGUGGGUGAUUGUCAGUGUCAAAGCUGGCGGAUCUCGGGUAGGGGGUCCCGAACUGUGCGUCUAAGGCGGAUGAUAACAGGAGGCAGGGGACACGAUGUUUUACCCAGGUUCGGGCCCUCUUGAUGGAGGUAAAACCCUACGUCCUGCUUGAUUUAUUCUUGAUGAUAUGAGUAUUACAAGAGUUGAUCUACCAUGAGAUCGGAGAGGCUAAACCCUAGAAGCUAGCCUAUGGUAUGAUUGUAUGUUGUCCUACGGACUAAAACCCUCCGGUUUAUAUAGACACCGGAGGGGGCUAGGGUUACACAAGGUCGGUUACAAAGGAGGAGAUAUACAUAUCCGUAUUGCCUAGCUUGCCUUCCAUGCCAAGUAGAGUCCCAUCCGGACACGGGAUGAAGUCUUCAAUCUUGUAUCUUCAUAGUCCAAUAGUCCGGUCAAAGGACGUAGUCUGACUGUCCGGAGACCCCCUAAUCCAGGACUCCCUCAGUAGCCCCCGAACCAGGCUUCAAUGACGAUGAAUCCAACGCGCAGUGUUGUCUUCGGCAUUGCAAGGCGGGUUCUUCUCCAUAUUUCGAACGUUUGUAAAGCAGUGACCGGCCCCAUAAAUGUUUGGACCUCUUGGCUUCUGUGCCCAAUAAGGGCUAUUUCCCACGCGUCGAAUGAAUACGAGGCGCCAGGGCAUUUUUACAUUCGCCCCCUAGCCAAAUAAAUAAAUUGUCUAUUAAAAGGAUGGGGAUUCUCAGAUCCGAUCCACACCAUCCUCCCCCAGCGAGAAUCCAUCAGAGCGCGCUUCGGAAAGAUCCAUUCUAGCAUGGCCGAGCUCCGCAGCUCCUCCUCCCGCCCCCGUAGCCCUAAGCCCGGUGAUUGGGAGAGGUGUUCUGUCCCACACAGUCGAUUAAUCGAACUACAGACUAAGGGAUUUCUCCCUCCAGCAUACAUGGUGCCCGUUUGAGCCGGGCUUGCCACCUACAAUGGCGGGGAGCAAGCGGAGAGCUUCCCCAGUCCCUCUACGGGGGAGCGGGUCUGCCUUGUUCCCUAUUUAUUAAGGGGACUCGGAUUUCCAAUUUAUCCGUUCCUCCGUGGACUGUUGGAGUUCUACGGCCUCCAAUUACACAAUUUCACCCCUGCCUCCAUUUUACACAUCGCCGGCUAUGUUGCUCUUUGCGAGUUGUUCCUGGGCUGCGAGGCUCAUUUCGAGCUAUGGAAAAGGCUAUUUGCCUCAUCCCUCGCACACAGAGGGGGUCACUUUAUCAAGUGGGCGGAGCCGAAAUAUGGCGCAUCGCCAGAACUGGAUACCUGUCCGGUACCUCGAAGAAGUCGUCCGAAGACUGGCCUUCGGAAUGGUUUUAUAUGGAGGACGUUCCCCUUCCGGACCCUGUUCGGCGGGGUCUUCCUGAGUUCAGCAAUGCCCCUCUGAAGAAACGCCGAAGUUGGCGCCCAUGGAGCCCCUAGGACGAAGACAAUGGAGAAGUCCUUUACCUGAUGAACCGGAUUAAAGCACUGGCUCAAUCAGGAUUGACAGUAAUCGAAGUUAUGUCAAUAUGCAUAAUGUGGGGAGUGCAACCACUUCAAUAUCGAGGGCACCCCUUGUGGUGUUUUAACGGGGCGGAUGACGCCACCCAUUGCGGGCGUAAGGGUCCGGACAAUGCUGCCACUUUAGCAAAAAUUCUGUCUGAAUUGUUCAAGGGAGAGGAAGAGGAGUUCAUCCGCAUCAAGCCAUGGGAUGGAUUCUCCAUGUACAAUCCUCUAAGAUGGGUGAGUUAUAUUUCCUUACUCCCAUUCCUUCCCGCAUUCUUUGUCAUAGGUAUUCACCUUGCCGUUUUGCAGCAGGAACUGCGAAAAGCCAUAAAGGAGGUCAGCAGCCCCUCCCCACAACCAGAGGACCCUAACCGGGCCCUCGACUACGGACUCGAAGAAGAUCCGGUCAUAUUCGUGGAGCUGAUAGACCAGCAGUUCUAUCAGUUAAGCUGCGAUGAUGCCAUGGUGGCCAUUACGGCCAACUAUCCCGGACUGCUUCCUGCAUCGCAUGUAAGAAAAACCAAAAAAAUCCCAACUCCAAAAACUAGGAUCCCCUUUUAGACACUUCACCUACCAUAUACAUAUGGCAUUUUUACAGGGAAGGCAUUCGGAAUGCCCUGUCGAGCCCGCAGCAACUCGCCAACAAGAGGCACCGAGGCCGGGCAGGCCAAAAAGGAAGGCGGUCAGGACGGAGACAACGGCGCAAAGGUAUAACAGAAACCACGCUCCGUGGUUGUCGUCUUUCUCGAAAUGUAAUGACGCCUGUGUUUCUUUAACAGAAAAAAUGCUCACCGGAAUGUGUCCAUCGAUGUUGCUAAUCACGCUUCCACCAGUCGAGCGCUAGGACUGGACAUAGAGGCGGAAGCCGAUAUGGGGAGGGCGCAAGAUAAUCCUCCUACAGAGGAUGCGAAUAGAUUAUCCGCCACAAAUUCAGAAGUAGAAAGCGCCAUGAAUCAUAGGCGCCGCCGGGCCGUACUCCGCGACGCUUGUUUCUCAACAGAGGCAUUUGAUGCCUUCAAUUCUGGAGAGGCGUACCUCCGUGCUGCUCAAGAUGGUCUAGCCAGAGCCACGGAUCAGUAUGUAAAGGAUGUACGGGUAAGUGAAUCUGACGAUUAUAUUUAUCAGAACUGAUUUAAGGAUCAUCUUUAUUGGGCAGGUUCUUACAGAGAAGAAUACUUGGCUGUCACAGGAGCUGGAGGAAUGCAAGACCCAACUGCGGGCCACUGUUGCCGCAUUGAAGGAAUCGAAAAAGUCCUCUGCUGGUAACAUUUACUUUUAAAGAAUGAUGGUUACCAUAUAGUGUGCGGUGUGGCUGUAGAUCUAACAAUAGAUGUUGUAGAUGAAUCCGGAGAAAAUCCAGAGGACCAGCAUGUCGUGCGACAACUACAGGCUGGCGAACGCAUGCUGACUGAGGUCAGGCGGGAGAAAAACAAUCUCCAAGAUGGCAAUACCAAGUUGAGCGUGGAACUGAAAGACGUUCGAGCCCAGCUUGCAGACUCCGAGAAGGAGAAUAAGCGGCUUCGACGCGGCAUUUUUAGUAAGUGCUUGAACGAAUCCUUUUGAAGGAGUUCGGCGAAGAAGCCGACUAACAACGUUAUGUCUGUAGGUAUGCUGACGGGUCGUCCCGCGGAGGAAAUGCCCGCGUCUGCGGGUGAUCUUCUAUCCGAGCUCUCACAACUGCACGAACAAGUUCGACAGGUGAUGCAAGGUGUUGCCCAGGCCUUGUGGCCAUCCGUCUCCUUGCCAGAAGGCAUUGCAGAGCUUACAGAGAAGCUCAAGGGAGCACGGCGGCGCUUCCGAUUAUGGAAGAUAUCGGCCUGCCAUCAAGGUGCCAGGGAAGCCUGGGCCAUGGUGAAGACGCGGUAUACCAAGGCUGACCCAAAUCACAUGGCCGAGGUCGGACCUGUGGGGCCCGACGGAAAAGAGAUUCCCGUUAGCUUAGUUUAUGGGCAAGUAGAAUUAGGCGCAAAGUAUUCCCAACAGGGUUGUAGGCUAGACCGCCUGUUGGAUGGUAUAGAAGAGGAAUUUAGUCAGUCUGCAUGACUAUGUAAUUAAAGUGACAUGUAUAAUGCCGUCUAGCCGGAUUGUAGAUCAUUUAUCAUGGCCGACCUUUUCGCUUCAACCUCAGGACCCGAUAGUCUGGAGUGUAUCCGAAUACCCGCUCAGUUAUAUAAGAACCGGGAUAUGCGUGGAGACUAGGCGUAGGGGUCAUUAGUGCUUGAACAGACAAGUGCCCAACUAGUUAUGUUAUAUUAGAUGGGUGGUAAGAAACAUCUUCCAGGGAGAAUAGUUCCGUUAAGGGUUCCUUUCCCUAGGUACGCAUGCCCUAAAGUGCAUGUCCGGACUGCGAUAAGAAACGUAGGAAAAAACAUCUGGGGCACAUAUGGAAAAUAAAUAAAAAUCAUCUUUUGUUCACCGACCGAAUAUUCCCUUAAGAAUGCUAGCUUUCGGCUUCACCCAGUCUGAGGUACACAUCUGGCUGACCCGGCAGUAACAAUCGCAGAGGUGCUCCCCUUAUGCCCUAGCCAAAUUAACGGGAACGUGGGGCAUAAAUACAAGAGCCAGGCAACCCAACUUGGCCAAAAUUGAAGUCAUAUCGAUGCAUAUAAUGGCAAGAAAAGGUACAUGCGGAAGUAUAACACAUGUGCGAGGCAUGAGGCCCAGAUAAAUAAUUAAGCUUCUGUGAAAGAAGCCCCCAGGUAUGAUGAGCGCGGCUAGCACAUCUGUAAUGUGCAAGCGAGGCACAAGUUGGCCCUUGAAGGCCUAGAGAAAGAAUAAAAGAAAGAAAGAAAGAAAAAUGAGACAGAUAAUGCAUAUGCAAAAAAUGGACAGAGGAAGGGGACAGACAUAGAGUCCGGCGCUAGGCGUAGAAUCUUCGGAGCCUGGCCGCGUUCCAUAGGUUCGGCUCGAGUCGAUUAGUCGAUGCAUCCCGCAGUCGGUACGCUCCACCGGUCAGAACUUGGUCAAUAAUGAAGGGAUCUUACCAUUUGGGCUCGAGCUUGUUCUUUUUCUUAUCUGGCAGGCGUAUAACUAGUUCGCCAACAUUAUAAGUUUUGGUCCGUACUUCUCUGCUUUGGUAUAUGUGAGCCUGUUGCUGAUAAAAUGCGGAACGGACUUUUUCCACGUCGCGCUCCUCCUCCAGGGUGUCUAGACUGUCCUGCCAAUCGAGCUCGGUUUCUCUUUCUUCGUACAUGCGCACUCGAUGUGAGUCAUGAAUUAUGUCACAGGGAAAGACUGCCUCUGCGCCGUACACCAUAAAGAAGGGUGUAUAUCCGGUACUACGAUUCGGCGUGGUCCACAGCCCCCAGAGUACGGAGUCGAGCUCCUCUACCCAGUGCGUGUUAGACUCCGUUAAUGAACGCACUAAUCUGGGUUUAAUGCCGCUCAUUAUAAGACCGUUUGCUCACUCAACUUGGUCGUUGGUUUGUGGGUGGUAGACUGAAGCAUAAUCGAGCUUGAUGCCCAUUUUGCUGCACCAGAGUUUUACCUCAUCGGCCGUGAAGUUCGUGCCUUUGUCAGUGAUGAUGUUGUGGGGGACGCCAUAACGGUGUACGCCCCCGGAUAUGAAGUCUAUCACCGGUCCGGAUUCGGCUGUUUUAACAGGUUUGGCUUAUAUCCAUUUGGUGAAUUUAUCCACCAUGACCAGUAAGUAUUUUUUCUUGUGGGUUCCCCCUUUAAGGGGUCCAACCAUGUCAAGCCCCCAGACCGCGAAGGGCCACGUAAUGGGGAUUGUUUGGAGGGCGGUGGGUGGCAUGUGGCUUUGAUUUGCAAAAAGCUGGCAACCGGCGCAGCGUUGGACCAAGUCCUGUGCAUCUGCCCGGGCCGUCGGCCAAUAGAAUCCUGUACGGAAGGCCUUGCUUACAAGAGCCCGGGCUGCGGCGUGGUGACCGCCGAGUCCGGCGUGAAUUUCUGCCAAAAGGUUCCGCCCUUCCUCUUCGGAGAUGCACCUUUGAAGAACUCCGGUAGUGCUUUUUUUGUACAAUUCUCCCUCAUGGACCCUGUAGGCCUUGGAUCGCCGCACUAUGCAGCGUGCCUCAUUUUGGUCCUCCGGAAGUUCCUGCCUAGUUAGGUAGGUCAGGAAUGGUUCUGUCCACAGGGCUAUGAUGGCCAUUAUUACGUGGGCUGAAGGUGUUGUUUCGGUGGGAGAGCCUCCGAUUAUGUCAGAGUGUUCGGUGUUGAGUGUUGUGGACGGUUCCAGACUAAUAUUGCCGGUGUCCCCCUCCCAUACCAUGGAUGGCUUAAACAACCUCUCUAAAAAGAUGUUGGGGGACCACAUCGUGUUUUGCGCCGAUGCGGGCGAGGAUAUCCGCCGCCUGAUUGUUUUCUUGAGCCACAUGGUGAAAUUCAAGCCCCUCGAACCGAGCUGACAUCUUUAGGACGGUGUUACGACAGGCCGCCAUCUUCGGAUCCUUGGCAUUAAAGUCUCCAUUUAUUUGGGAUAUUGCAAGGUUCGAAUCCCCAUGCACCUCCAGGCGCUGAAUGCCCAUGGAAACUGCCAUCCGAAGACCAUGUAACAGGGCUUCGUAUUCGGCUGCAUUGUUGGAGUUUGUGUACAGUAUCUGCAGUAUGUAUUGAACUGUAUCUCCGGUUGGGGACGUCAGGACGAUGCCGGCCCCCAGUCCAGCCAGCAUUUUGGAGCCGUCGAAGUGCAUAAUCCAAUUGGAGUAUGCGCCGUACUCUUUAGGGAGUUCGGCUUCCGUCCAUUCGGUGACAAAGUCGGCCAAUACUUGCGAUUUAAUGGCUCGCCGGGGUUUGUAUGUUAUGUUGAAUGGGAGGAGCUCAAUGACCCAUUUGGCAAUCCGGCCCAUGGCGUCGCGGUUGUUUAUAAUAUCAUUGAGUGGCACCUCCGAGGCUACUGUAAUCGAACACUCUUGAAAGUAGUGUCGCAGUUUCCGAGAUGCCAUGAAUACCGCAUAGGCUAUCUUUUGAUAAUGUGGGUACCGUGAUUUGCAUGGAGUGAGGAUAGUGGAUACAUAAUAUACCAGCUUUUGAAGAGGGAAUUUAUGUCCAUCCGCUUCUCGUUCGACGACGAGCACUGCGCUUACAACUUGAUGAGUUGCCGCAAUGUAUAAUAGCAUUGGUCCGCUGAUGUUUGGCGUGGCCAGGAUUGGGUUGGUUGCCAGUAUGGCUUUUAUUUCUUCCAAUCCGGCUGUGGCAGCGUCCGUCCACUCGAAGUGUUCGGUGCGCCGAAGGAGGCGAUAAAGGGGUAAUGCCUUUUCUCCUAAGCGGGAGAUAAAGCGGCUUAGAGCCGCCACUCAUACAGUUAACUUCUGGAUUUGUUUGACGUCUGUUGGGGUGGCCAACUGUGACAAAGCUCAGAUUUUGGCCGGAUUAGCUUCAAUACCUCUACUGGAGACAAUGAAACCCAGGAGCUUUCCGACUGGUACGCCGAAAAUGCAUUUUUUCGGAUUGAGCUUGAUGUCGUAUGUUCGGAGGUUGUCGAAUGCGAGCCUCAAGUCGUCUAUCAGAGAGUCGAUGUGUUUAGUUUUGACGACAACAUCAUCUACGUAUGCCUCUACUGUUUUGCCGAUUUGUUUCUCCAGACAUGUCUGAAUCAUGCGCUGAUAUGUUGCACCGGCGUUUUUGAGCCCGAAAGGCAUUUUGUUGAAACAGAAGGGACCGUAUGGUGUGAUGAAUGUCGUUGCGGCUUGGUAGAACUCUGCCAUCUUGAUUUGGUGGUAACCAGAGUAUGCGUCGAGGAAACACAAUGACUCGUGUCCUGCGGUAGCAUCAAUAAUUUGAUCAAUGCGGGGGAGGGGGAAGGGAUCCUUUGGGCAAGCUUUAUUGAGGUCCUUGAAAUCGACACAAAGGCGCCAGGAUUUAUCCUUCUUUGGUACCAUCACCAGGUUUGCUAGCCAGUCCGGGUGUUCUUUGAUGAAUCCGGCCUCUAAUAACUUGGCUAGUUCCUCUCCCAUGGCAUGUCUCUUAGGUUCAAAGAAACGCCGAAGAGCCUGCUUGACCGACUUGAAUCCCUUUAGGAUAUUGAGGCUAUGCUCGGCCAGCCUGCAUGGGAUUCCUGGCAUGUCUGAAGGAUGCCAGGCGAAUAUGUCCCAAUUCUCACACAGGAAAUCUCGUAGUGUGGCGUCCACGGCGGGGUUUAACUGUGCCCGGAUGGAGGCUGUUUUUAUAGGGUCCGUUGGGUGGACUUGGAAUUUGACUAUUUUGUCCGCUAGUUUAAAAGAGGUGGACUUGGAUCUCUUGUCGAGUAUCACGUCGUCCCUGUCCACCGUGGAGCAUAGCUUGGUUAAUUCCUCGGCCGAGAGGGCUUCGGAUAAUGCCUCGAGGGCCAGUGCAGCUGUUUUGUUUUCGGCGCGGAGUGAUGUGUCCGGAUCACUGGCGAUAAUGAUGAUUCCGUUGGGCCCGGGCAUUUUGAGCUUCAUGUACCCAUAAUGGGGUACGACUUGGGAGAUCGUGAAUGCCUCACGUCCUAAAAGGGUGUGGUAUCCACUUCUGAACGGGGCCACUUGAAAUGUGAUUUCUUCGGACCUAUAGUUCUCUGGCGUACCGAAUACCACAUCUAGUGUGAUUUUCCCAGCGCAUCGUGCUUCCCGACUGGGUAUGAUUCCUCUGAAGGUUGUUCUACUUUGCUCAAUGCGGUUCCAGUCUAUUUCCAUUUUUUGAAGAGUUUCCUCAUAGAUGAGGUUUAAUCUGUUGCCGCCGUCCAUGAGUACUUUGGUGAGUCGAAAGCCGUCCACAAUUAGACUGAGGACCAGUGCGGCUGGUGCUCUGGCUGUUCGGAAUUUAGGUUCGUCACUGGCAUUGAAGGUAAUAGCCGUGUCACUCCAUGGAUUUAUUGCUGCUACGUGGCAGAUUUUGGCAAUGCUGCAGAGUGUUUGCUUGCGCCUAUUAUUUGACGCGAAGGUCUCAAAGACUGUUAAAACAGUAUUGUUAUCAACGAGAUGGUGCUCUAUGGUAUUUGGGAUAAGAAGAUCCUCACCACUUUUGGCCACCUGCCGGAGUAUCCAACAUGCUCUAAGGCUGUGCGUUGGUAUUGUAUCCGCUGUGCUAUGAAUUUUGCACGGUCCAUUAAGCCAUCCCUCCAAUACGGUUCCGUGCCCUAUAGAGGGUUUUUGUUUCUUUGUAAUGAACUCGUGUGUCUUAUGAUAGUGCACCCUUUUACCUCGGACUGGGUGCAUAUUCGGAGCCGGAUUAUCCCAAAAUUUCGUUUCGGUUUUCCAGGCACUUUCCAUCACACAGUACUUUCGUACUAUGGACGCCAAGUCGGCAAAGCGUGAUAUGUCACGGCGACUUAUGGCGUUAAGGAUUCCCUUGUCCGUGCAGUUAUUGCGGAAAAGUGAGACUGCGUCUUCCUCGCGGCAGUCCUUAACCUUGUUCAUCACAAGGAGGAACCUGGCCCAAUAAUGAUGUAUUGUUUCAUGGGGCUCUUGCCUGAUGUGGGAAAGAUCGUUUAUGUGUGGGUGGGUGGGUGGAUUUGAGUUCGGACCCCUACCCGAUCUGAGACCCAGGGGCCGAGGGGUUUCCGAUCUUGGAAGUUCGGAUUCCGGUAUGUUGCCCGAUGAGUCUGGCCCGCUGCCUGUCUCUAGGUUUAGGGUUUGGUUGAUGUCCUCCCAUAAACGGUUGUCCGGCUCGGAGAGCUCAGGAAUUCGGACAUAGUUAGUCCUCAAGAUAGAGGAAGAAUCUCCGCAUUGUUCCUCCACCACCGCAACAUGAUGGGUGACCGAUGGAGAGUUAAUCUCCCUUCGAUCGGGUUUAAGCCCAAUCCGAUCAUAGUCCAUAGCGACUCCCAAGGCGGCGAUGCGAUCCAAGAGUUCUUUUAGGGAAGAGAGCUCCAUUGGAUCCAUCUGCUCGACAAAUUCCGAGCCGACGUGGAGGCUGUUUUUGAUGACCCGAGCAGUCAUCGUCGGUGCAGCGGCUGAACAGGCGGUCAUGACAAAACUGCCUAGCCGGAGAGUUUGGCCGACAGCCAGAGCUCCCCCGGUGGUAAUGUUGUUUUUAACAACGAGAUGAGGCAUCCUUCCUUACGGCGACGUCACAGAGGAACUCUCAAUGAAAGCACCAAUGUCGGUGUCAAAACCGGCUGAUCUUGGGUAGGGGGUCCCGAACUGUGCGUCUAAGGCAGAUGGUAACAGGAGGCAGGGGACAUGAUGUUUUACCUAGGUUCGGGCCCUCUUGAUGGGGGUAAAACCCUACGCCCUGCUUGAUUUAUUCUUGAUGAUAUGAGUAUUACAAGAGUUGAUCUACCACGAGAUCGGAGAGGCUAAACCCUAGAAGCUAGCCUAUGGUAUGAUUGUAUGUUGUCCUAUGGACUAAAACCCUCCGGUUUAUAUAGACACCGGAGGGGGCUAGGGUUACACAAGGUCAGUUACAAAGGAGGAGAUAUACAUAUCCGUGUUGCCUAGCUUGCCUUCCACGCCAAGUAGAGUCCCAUCCGGACACGGGACGAAGUCUUCAAUCUUGUAUCUUCAUAGUCCAACAGUCCGGCCAAAGGACAUAGUCCGGCUGUCCGGAGACCCCCUAAUCCAGGACUCCCUCAGUGAUAUUUAAACCACUUCUCUUUAGGGAUAUCAACAUGAGUAGCAAAAGAUUCACAAAAGGAGGCUACUAUCUCAGAGUCAAGUCCAUAUUUAGUGCUAAACUUUUGAAAAGCAUCGACAUUCACAAAAGAUUUUAAAGAAUCAAACUUAAGCUUAAUACCCGACUCUUUACCUUCCUCGAGUUCCUAACCUACAGAGUUGCGUUUAAUUCUUUUCAACAGAUCCCACCGGAAUUCAAUAGUCUUAUUCAUAAAAGAACAGGUACAAGAAGUAUCAAGCAUGGAUCGAUCAUCAUGAGAAAGCCGAGCAUAAAAAUUUUGAAUGAUAAUUUCCCUCGAGAGCUCAUGAUUGGGGCAUGAAUAUAACAUUGACUUAAGCCUCCCCCAAGCUAGAGCGAUACUUUCUCCUUCACGAGGCCAAAAAUUAUAUAUAUAAUUCCGAUCACGAUGAACUAGAUGCAUAGGAUAUUUUUUUUGAUGAAACUCCAAUUUCAGUCGAUUCCAAUUCCAAGAUCCAAUAUCAUCGCAUAGCCUAUACCAUGCCAAUGCUUUUCCCUUCAAAGAUAAAGGGAAAACCAUCUUCUUAACUUCAUCUCCGGGUAAACCUGCAAGCUUAAACAAUCCAUAAAUUUCUUCCACAUAUAUCAAGUGCAUAUCAGGAUGUUCCGUUCCAUCUCCUGCAUACGGAUUAGCUAGCAGUUGUUCUAUCAUACCCAAAGGAAUUUCAUAUUUGAUAUUUUCAGUAGGUGCAGUGGGUUGAGGGGUGACUAAUUGCGGUUCUGGUCGAGGUGAAGAUACCCUGAACAAACCCCUCAAAGGAUUAUUUUCCAUAGUAACAAGUGACAAUAAAUUUCAGCAUGUCAAUCUAUAUCUAUCUAUCUAUCUAUACCUACACUAAUUACAGACUCCCUACAAAUUACCAUGUUAAUCAGAAAUUACGAAUCGUUUAUCUGGUGGGGCCGAAUUAUUACGAUGUAGAUUAACCCAUCUAAAAUAGAAACAAGAAAAAAAUUGAACCAGCAUAUGUCAAUUAAAAGAUGAUUGGAAAGGCUCAUAGUGCCUUCAUGUGCAGUUAUUUUUUUUGAAAGGCUUUCACGUGAAGUUGGGAAAAGAGCAGCCAAAAGAAAAAAAACUAGAAACCAAAAGUUAUAUCAUUACCUUUUCUUCAAUUACAGACUCCCUAGAAAUUAUCAUGUUAAUCAGAAAUUACGAGUCGUUUAUCUGGUGGGACCGAAUUAUUNNNNNNNNNNNNNNNNNNNNNNNNNNNNNNNNNNNNNNNNNNNNNNNNNNNNNNNNNNNNNNNNNNNNNNNNNNNNNNNNNNNNNNNNNNNNNNNNNNNNNNNNNNNNNNNNNNNNNNNNNNNNNNNNNNNNNNNNNNNNNNNNNNNNNNNNNNNNNNNNNNNNNNNNNNNNNNNNNNNNNNNNNNNNNNNNNNNNNNNNNNNNNNNNNNNNNNNNNNNNNNNNNNNNNNNNNNNNNNNNNNNNNNNNNNNNNNNNNNNNNNNNNNNNNNNNNNNNNNNNNNNNNNNNNNNNNNNNNNNNNNNNNNNNNNNNNNNNUUUAUACCAUUAGCUUUUCUUUAAUUACAGACUCCCUAGAAAUUACGAUGUUAAUCAGAAAUUAUGAGCCGUUUAUCUGGUGGGGCCGAAUUUUUACGGUGUAGAUUAACCCAUCUAAAAUAGAAACAAGAAAAAAAAUGAACCAGCAUAUGUCAAUUAAAAGAUGAUUGGAAAGGCUCAUAGUGCUUUCACGUGCAGUUUUUUUUUUUGAAAGGCUUUCACGUGAAGUUGGGAAAAGAGCAGCCAAAAGAAAAAAACUAGAAACCAAAAGUUAUACGAUUAGCAUUUCUUCUUUUAAAAGAAGCCAAAUCUCUUAUUUACUAAUUCGAGGCACCUUUCAUGAUCUUUCAUUAAUUCACAUCAUCAAAAUUAAUUAAACCGUUAGAUUGUAGAAUUGACGAUCAGGAUAGAAGGAAAACAUGCUUAAGGUAGAUGGUGGAGUCCUAUGAGGGUGCUUGGAUACGUUUUAGUCCCAUGACUAAAAAUAGUGGGACUAAAACUUGCUAGCCUCACCCAUGCUUGGAUCCAAAUACUAAAGAGACUAAAAUCAAGUUAUUGAGCAUUUAUUAUCCUCCAAACCCUCCAAUCCAGAACUCGCACGUGUUAAAGGAGAGGAAUUAAAUGAGAAGAGAGAGGGCUAAUACAUAUUUUAGUAGGUUUCCUAUCACUAAAAAUUUUUAGCCUCAAGACUAGUCCUAGCCUCUCUUUAGUCAGGGGUGCUUGGAACUUUAGCCUCUAAAAGAGACUAUUUUUAGUCAGACUAAAAAUAGUCCCUUAAAUCCAAGCACCCUCUACAACAAACGCAUGGGACACGUCCCAAAACAAGGAAAGGUUCACGUAAAAAACAAGAAGGAAAUCAUGUGAAAAGAAAACAAGGAAAUCCUCCACGUAAUCCUUACGUGAAAAGAAAACAAGGAAAGACUCCACCUAUUGCCAUAAAAUUAGGAAGGAAAGCCUCCGCCUCCAUCUUUUUAAAAAGGAAGUCUCCUAUCCCACGCGUACUCAAGUCCUCCCCCAAUUGGUCUCCCUAUGUUUCCCUCAGGAAAAACAUGUUAGCGUAAUUUCCUCCAAGAUUUGACGUACGCGAGGGGUCUUCUUGGUCAAUUGCCUCCAAUUCAAUCAGCCAGGUGCAUGCUGCAGAAGUCGCAUGUGCCUAUAGCAUCUCUGGCGCACCAUAUAGGUAUGCGACUCCAUGGCUCCGUAGCACGCAGCAGCAAUGGCCCAAGUUUGCACCAUCAUGUCAGAUUUGGGCGGCCAUCCUUCGUGGUGUUGGCUGAAACUCUUCGCUCAACUUCAAAACAAGUUUCAGUUAUUUGAUCUAAGGUAAGAAACGUGAUAUUUUCAUUCCGGUCGGAUUCGUCUGCAGAUUCAAUCUCGAGAACUUUAGAUCAUAAACUCAUUUAGGGACGACUGCGGAAUUGAAUUAUAGGGGUGUUGGUCGUCCAAGACUGAUUUGAUUCAGAUUGUCGGUUUGACGCAAUAAUCAAAAUUAUUCAUAUACGUGUCAUUCUUCAACACAAGGCUGGGGUGAAUAUAUUCUGCAGGUAUGUGCGUACAUCCCUCCUCCACUGUCUUGGUAGCAGGUGUAAAGUCUAGAUAACUGUCCUCCACGUUGGGCAUCAACAUAUUAGGAUGCCAUAACGUCCAAAAGUAUUUUGUGUGGUGUGAUUAGAUCAUAGUUGUCGUCUCUGGCUAUGGCCGAUGUGGCAGAAACAAACCCUGCUAAUCUGCGUACUCUGUGUGGUAAGCUCAAGUAUAGUUGUCUCUUACAAAUACUCAUUGUUAAUCUCCCUUUCCCCUCUCUGAAAUCAAAAAAAAAUGUUCUUACUGAGAAUAGUAGAUCCCAAUAUGAGAUAUUAUUUAGUCCGUGUUUAUCUUUGGCCGGCCGGCAAGCCGCUUGCUCACAACAGUGGAAUACCAGAUCCGUGUAUUGUCUACUCCAUGGCAUCUUUAAUCCUGUGUGUGGCGUCUCAUCAGUUGGCUCAACAUGCUCAAGAAUCCUUAUUCAUAUCUCCUAGAAUAAUUUUUGAAAAAUUUGUUUCGGAUGUAUAUUUUCCACUCUUGCAAUGAUCGUAUCAAGAUACAACUAUUUCGCUUAGUUACUUAUGUAUGCAGUAUGCCUGGGUAGUAAAUAAAAAACAUAAAUUUCUUUACACGCAUUAUUUUCAAAGUAGUAGGCACGUGAGUAAUUAUUAAAUUGAGGUAUUAUCUUCUCAAAUCUGCUACACAUUAGUUAUUUUGAUGAGAAGAUGAUGCAAAAAUCGAUGCUAAACUAUGUGCAUACCCUCUAAAGUUGCAGUGUUGUUUUCUAGAGUUGGUGAUAUGUUCCUUCUAUAUGAAUUGAGAAAGGAAGAGAGGAGAAUUUACUAUGGCAGAAUGUUCGUUCUUUUAUUAGGGAAAAGCAAGUUUGAGAAGCCAGCUGCCUAACUUCCGAUCUAUUAGAUUAGAUGGAAAAAUUGCAACAUGGGACACUCAGCCAUGCAGCGAUUAAUAGUUUUCCUUUGGAUUACCCUUUCCUGCGGGCUUUUGAUUUGAGGUAAAAAAAAGUCGCAUUGCUUCGGUCUACAGGUGACUGCUUUCAUUGUUUAAUCCAUCAGGCACUUCCAUGGGUUAAUAUAUCAGGCGUAUAUGCAAAAUUCAUCUAUAGAAUAUGAUCUUUCCAUAAAUCAUUGGUUUACCGCUUAUGAAUUCAGUUGGUUUGAUUUCAUUAGGAGUAUUACUUCGCAGCAACUCUUUGUGUAGUCCUCCUAGACAUUGGCCUCCGAUCCAUGAUCUAAGUAUAUUAUUUAAUGUAAUUAAAUUCUUCUCACAGUAUGAAAUAUUGAUAUCCCUUAGAAUCUACGUGACUUUUGUAGGGCAUACGGCAGGGAAUCGGCUUUUGUCAUGGCAUACUGCCCGAGCUUGCAAGAGGAGGUGGAGCAGCAAGACGAGGAUGACGCAGGAUGUAUUCACACUCUUCCAUGUGGUCAGGCCGCGAACAUUCAUGCUGGAGUCCUGUGUUAAAUCUAACAUAUGUUCUCUGUACUUUUUCUAUGUUAAUCUCAUUUACACUCCAGGGUAAAAACAAGAUCUUAUAUGCACAACUAUUACAAUAAUAAUAGGCCAGUAUAAGGAUAAGAAGUAUCCUUCUAUUUCAAAGAAAAUGAAUGUUUAUUUGAGAUAUUAACUUCCCGUGAGGUGUGAUGCAAGGAAGCAUGAUGAAAUCAACAUUACAAAUAUGUAUUUUUAAGUUUCGGCUAGAAACAUGCAUAUUUGCAUCUCGAAGAUGGUGUAUUGUUUGUAUAUCAUCACUCAUUUAAGAUCACAACUCCAUGCAUGAUCAAUGAAAUUGAAAUUUGUAAAGCUCCAUUUUCAUGUCUACGUCUUUUAAUUCUUAUAUGUCUUGCUUUGAUAUUUUAUAUAGGCUUGGCCUAACAAUUUUCGUAAAUAUGGCUCCGUUUACCUUCUAUUGGUCUAUGGGGAACAUCAUACGCCUAUAGUCAUAGAAACAAACAUCAAAUUCUAUCUAUUGAGGUUAGUUGUGUCAUUUGUCUACUUUAAUUUUAUGGUGAACUAUUUGCUGAUAUUCCAAAAAUUGAACUUCCACGUGAAAAAAUCCAUGGAAAAUUGGAGUGUGAAACCACAUCAAUAAAAAUAAUAAUUAUGGGUCAUAUUUGAUGAUUACUAUUUUCAUGAUUACAAAGUGUAUCUACGAGAAUAUACGACAGUGAUAAAAAUGUAGACAAAUAUCUAGCCCGUGCAGGUGCACGGGUUAAUGACUAGUGAGUUUAAUCUUUAUCUAAUCUCGCAUCACGGUUAUUGAUAACAGUUAAAAUAAAAAUAUAAAAAUGUUUGAAAAGGCACCUAUGCUUUCACGUACGGGAGGAGGAAUAGGCACAGGAAAAAAAGUGGCUUCUUGGUAUAGAAGGAAUAUACAAAUCCAAUCUCGCUAACAGAAAGAAAAAAUGAAUCCAGUUGCCUGGUGGCCAGGGGCUCCUCUCCUUCCUCAAGCCUCUCCCGUUCAUGGUGACUUCUUUUGAUCUGGCGAGCCUCGUGUGUUAUUCUCUCCUUCCGUGUGCCCCUAAUCUUGCUGUUUCUCUUUCUUCCCAAUAGCAACCAGGCGAGCUACAUGUUGUACGAUUUAAACGCUGACAUGAAGAUAAUCAGUAGGCGUCGGUCACCCCAUGCUAUGCUUCAGAUCGGUUCCUCACCUAAACACUACCAUCAUUAUGGGAAAACACUGAUGUGAUCUCCUUUCUGGGAAAAGAGAAAAAGUCAACCACGCACGGCAAGUAAAAUCCACCGGGUAAUGCCGAUCUCUAAUCUGUCCAAGGUUCGUGGAUUUCUUAAACUUUGCUAUCGUUUCGAGACUUCUACUCAUAUAUUCAUCUAUUUUCAAAUUCUAUGUAAUAUAAAUUUAAUAUUUUGGAAGAUCUUUUUUGGCAGAUUCUAGAUCGCCAUCUCUCUGGAGCAUGUAUUGCAUGGCCUAGCAGCAACAGCUCAACGUCAUCUCUCAUAUCUCAACCGUGGAAGCAUGUAUGGAUGUGUGGCAGCGGCAUGCGGGACGCAGGUUUUGAAACAGUCACCAUCACAUGUUCAAGUGAUGGAUGCGUGUCUCAAGCCCUCCAACUACCAUCAGAAUCUCUUUAACAAGCAUAACAACGUGGUUAGGUCUCACGAAAUCAGGUGACCUGAAAAUAACUGCUUGUAUCAGUGGAAGGCAUGUGACAUCUUGCCAAGAUAAACUGUCAACUACCGAGCAAAGGAAGUUUUCUGGAAAUUCAUAGGGUGGCCAGUGGACUGCUACCUUAAUUUUUUCCCUCUCGAGUUCUAAUGUACGUAUGCAUUCUCUAUUCUUAGAGAUACAUUGUUCUCAACUUGCAAGCUGAAUGCGCUUUGAAAUUGACUGAAAAUACUUUGAAUUAGAAUUCUAUUUGCUAAAAAAUUGCUAAAUUUCUUCAGUAGUUUUAGUUUUUUCUACAUCAGUAAUAGAAUACCAUCGUUGUUUUAGUUAUGUUCUUUGUAAGUUUACCAGUUGUUUAGAUGAUAAUUGAGAACAGUCUCAAUGGUAGAAAUUGAAUCACCAUUUGUACUAUUUAGGAUACAAGAUUUUGAACAUAACAAUUUAUUUUCUUUUCAGUAUAGGCUGCUUGCCCAUAUAAGUUUCUUUGAUUCAGUUAAUUAUUUCUCUGCUGCUACACUUAUAUAUUAGGCUUCAGAUUUUCUAGAUUUCUGCAGGUUAUCGGACAAGUUAUUUCACCCAUUCAUCUAAUUACAACUUCGCAAGUUUACAAAAAACAAUGUCGAGACAAAUUGUCGAGUGCCGAGCAAAGGGAGUUUUGAAGCAUAUUCAUAUGGUGGCCAGUGGACUAUAUUUAUUUUUUCGAUGGAAGUUCAAAUGAAUGUGUCCAUUGCCUAUUAUAUUAUUGUUACUGUGUUCCCAGGUUACAAACUGAAUGUGCUUUCAAAUUGGAAACCCAAUGCGACUUGAAAAACUUCUAAAUAGACUUUUAUUUGCUAAAUUUUUAUUAGUUUUAGUUUUUUUUCCCAGCAACUAUGGAAUGCCACCAUGUUUUAGCUGUGUUCUUUGUACAUUUACCAGUGGUUCAGCUGAUAGUUCAGAACAAUCUCAAUGGUAGAGAUUGAAUCACUAUUUGCACAAUUUAGGACACAGGAUUUUGAACAUAGUUUUAGUUCUUUGAUCCAGUUAAUUAUUUCUCAGCUGCCAGACGGAUAUAUUAGGCUUCACAUUUUGUAGAUUUCUGCAGGUUGUCGGACAACUUAUUUCAUCCAUUCAUCUAAUCACAACUUCGCAUUCACAGAAAACAUUGAGUCCCUUACAAUCAGUUUGCCCCGAGGUCAGAUGUUGUUGUGAUGUCUCAGGUAAAUGAAUGGAUUCCCUAAAACAUUGUGCGAAUGAACUAUAUUGAUUGCUAAGUGUAUCCCGGAACUUCAAAAGCAAGAAUUUGGCUGAACUGAGAUUAAUCUGAAGUGAAAAGAGAGAUAAACACAGCUGCACAGCUGUGCUGCAACCUUUCCAAGUCUUCGAUUAAUUGAGACUAUGGAUAGAUAUCCCUAUCGUCCUGUAAUUCAUGCUGUCAAUAUGGUAUAUAUCUCUUCACAGUUCCACUGUGUCCUCUCCAAGUGUUUUAUUAAUUGAGACUAUGGAUUACGUGGCCAGUAGCUACUACACGGUCGAUACUGCGCUUCGGGUUGAAUGUGCAACCAUACCCUAACAUUUAUGUGUAUUCUCAUAUUUGCUUCUUUUGUGGGCUUUCUACGUCCUAGCACAGGAGCGGUACGACCAUAACAUGUUGCCAAGCUUUGCGCCCUACUACCUUAGUCACUGUUGCUGCUUAUCAUAUCAACCGCACCAAGCCUCUAUAGCUACCAGAUACUCUACGACCUUUUUAAUGGCGUUGUCCCGACUAGCAAUAGUUCAGUGACAUGACCAUCCAAUCAUCCAGUGACUGGAUUUCUUCAAGAUUUUCAUUUGAUGAAAAGCCUCCUCAGUGGUCGAGUUAUCUUUGCCACAUUGGUGCCAUCAUGUGUGAUUAGCAACGAUGGAGAGUACCCUAUCUAGCCGACAAUAUCCUGUGACUAACUUUUUUGGCAAAGGUGUUUACAAGAUUUUUACCUGAGAUGAAUACGACGAUAUGCUUGAGUAUUGUGCAUGCUUUCUAUGCAUGGUAUUGGUUGAAUUGUUAAUUUUGAAGCCAACUAGAUUAGUGUCAAGCGAUAGUGUAUGCCCUCAGUCAUGCAAGUCAAAAAACUCAUGCAAGUGAUCGACCAAAUGGAGGUUAUUUUUACUAAGAUGUGCAUUGGGUAUAUGCAGUACAUUGCGACGUGUUUGAAUUACAUCUUCUGAUAUAUUAUAUUUGUGUCUAUGGGAAUGCAAUUAAUUGUAAAUUUUGUACGUGGGUAAUGAGUACCUUGUGUGAUAGAACUUAUUUAUCCAUCACUAUUUUCCUUUAGCAGAACUAUAUUUUCCUGUAGUGGUGUGUUACAUGGCUAAUGUUUCUAAUAUCUAAGAUGUCUCCAAUGUCUUGGUUCUUGGCUCCAUGGAACCUUUUCUGCAGCCAAGGCAUUAUUUGGUUUAACUUGCAACCGUAUAGCUCUAAAGAAAUAAAAUUGACAUAAUGUUUCACUCUGAUCAUAUAAUGGUUGAUUAUGUUUUUCAGUGGAAUCAACCGUCAACAUGUAAAUCAUCUUUUAGUUACCAUACUAUUUAAAAAAAUAGGUGCAUUACUUUGUAUUAUUAACCUUCUAUUGGAAAUCAACUUCUGCAUGUCUGAUAGAUACUGAUGUUUUGUUAUCAGCGUUUAUAAAUUAUUCAUUUUGCAACUAUACGUGUUGAAUUGUAUAUUUUGGCAUAUAUCUUUUACUCUUUGCUUAUUGACUAAAGAACUACCAAACUUAUCAGCUUUUAGUCGUUAUAAGAUUAAGGAACUCAUUAAUUAACUAUUUAGUUGUUUUCAUUUUUGAAACACCAUGGCAUAUUUAUAAUAUAUUGGAUGACAAAUGGUCAUAUAUCAACUCUGUACUUACAUAUGUGGGACAAGUACAAGGAAGGAUAAUUAAUUGUCACGGAGUGUCUUUCAUAUACUAUACAUGAUAUUUUUUGUAAGUCAAAUACACUAUCUAUUGAUAAAUUGAAGACGUUUCGAAAAUAGCUCAGUUACAACAUUUCACUUUUAUCUUUAAGGUUUAUAUCAUAGGGUAAAAAGUCACAACAACACUAAGAUAUUGUGCAACUCUUUUCUAUGAAUAUUUUAUGAUAACGAAUGAAGAAAAUAUAACAUAUGCCUAUAUAUUAAUAUAGUCAAAACUGGAGAAGUUUGUUCGCAAACUUUUCCGGACCACACCAUCCAUUUACAGCCACAAGCUGCACAAAAUACUACGAUUCCACAUUCAAAAUUACAAAAGUGCAUUAGCAUACAUGUGACAAAUAUUUUAGGGAAAAAACAAUUCUCCAAAUGUUUUUUGUUAAAACAUAUUUUGAGAUAUUUACAUGUAUGAGAUGUCACGUCGCUAUGUUUAAGACAACAAUUAGUGUAUUUGGCAGCUCUACAUCCUCCACGAAUAACAAAAACAAAUAUAUGUUCAAGGAAAUAACAAUGCGUUCCUCACAUGACUGUAUCUAGCCUUGCCAACCUAUAUGAUGUGGCACACACAGGAAAUAACAGUGUGUAAGGAAAUAACAGUAUAUGAAAUCCCCUGUUUUCAACCUAUAUGAUUGAGCACACAUCCAAGCAAAAUCACAAAUCAAUGUAUGGUCAUAACAUAGACAACAAGACAAAAUGAAAUAACUAGCCCGUGCGAAUGCACGGGUUGACGACUAGUAGUAAUAUUUUUUGCUUACCAAUUUCCACUUACCAAGAGUGCUUCACUCCCCGGCAACGGUACCAGAAAAGAGCCUUGAUGACCCACAAGUAUAGGGUAUCAACCGUAGUCCUUUCGAUAAGUAAGAAUGUCGAACCCAACGAGGAGCACAAGGAAAUGACAAGUGGUUUUCAGCAAGGUAAUGUCUGCAAGCACUGAAAUUAUAAGUAACGAGUAGUUUGAUAGCAGGAUAAUUUGUAACGAGCAAGUAACGAUAAUAAUAACAAAAGUGCAGCAAGGUAGCCCAAUCUUUUUGAGGCAAAGGACAGGCCAAAACAGUCUCUUACGAUAAUCGAAGUGUUCUUGAGAGUACACGGAAAUUUCAUCUAGUCACUUUCAUCGUGUUGGUUUGAUUUGUGUUUGCUACUUUUGUAACUUGAUAUGUGGGUGGACCGAUGCUUAGGUGUUGUCCUUACUUGAACAAACCUCUUACUUAUGAUUAACCCCCUCGCAAGCAUCCGCAACUACGAGAAAAGUAUUAAGAAUAAAUUCUAACCAUAGCAUUAAACUUUUGGAUCCAAUCGGUCCUUUACGGAAUAGCGCAUAAGCUAGGGUUUAAGAUUUUAUCACUCUUGCAACCCAUCAUCUAAUAACUACUGCACAAUGCAUUCCCUUUUGCCCAAUUAUGGUGAAGUGUCAUGUAGUCGACGUUCACAUGACACCACUUAGGGAAUCACAACACGCAUACCAUCAAAAUAUCGAACACAUAUAAAUUCACAUGAUUACUUCCAACAAGAUUUCUCCCGUGACCUCAAGAACAAAAGUAACUACUCACAAAUGAUAGUCAUGCUCAAGAUUAGAGGGGUAUUAAAUAGCAUAUUGGAUCUGAAUAUAUAACCUUCCACCAAAUAAACCAUAUAGUAAUCAACUACAAGAUGUAAUCAACACUACUAGUCACCCACAAGUACCAAUUUAUAGUUCCGGUACAAAGAUUGAACACAAGAGAUAAACUAGGGUUUGAGAGGAGAUGGUGUUGUUGAAGAUGUUGAUGGAGAUUGCCCUCACCAAGAUGGGAGAGUUGUUGGUGAUGAUGAUGACGAUGAAUUCCCCCUCCAGGAGGGAAGUUCCCACGACAUAAUCUCUCAGCCGAAGAGCAAAAGUGCUCCUGACCAAGUUCCACCUCGAGACGGUGGCGCUUCGUCCCGAAAGUCAUGUCCUUAUUUUCUCUCUAUCAAAAUGACUUAUAUACCAGAAGAUGGGCACCGGAGGUGGGCUAGGUGGAGCAUAACCCACCAAGGCCCGUGUCUUGUGCUCACCAGGUGGCCCCACUCCGGUAGUUAUUUGCUCCUGUAUUUCUUAUUUGUUCCAUAAAAAUUUCUUGUGAAGUUUCAGCUCAUUUGGAGUUGUGCAGAAUAGGUAGCCUGGCGUAGCUUUUUCUGGUCCAGAUUUCCAGCUGCCAAAAUUCUCCCUCUUUGUGUGAACCUUGCAUAUUAUCAGAGAAAAUGCAUUAGAAUUACUCCAAAAAGCAGUAUUAUGCAUAAAAACAUUAUAAAGAACAGUAGGUAAACGCGAUGCAAAAUGGACAUAUCAAAUGACCAUCGACACCAGCCAUCUCUUGGACAACACAAGGACAAUGUAAAGGUUCUCCAACAGCAACACCUCCAAAAAGGGAAUGAUGCUCAUAGGCCAUGUCAUCNNNNNNNNNNNNNNNNNNNNNNNNNNNNNNNNNNNNNNNNNNNNNNNNNNNNNNNNNNNNNNNNNNNNNNNNNNNNNNNNNNNNNNNNNNNNNNNNNNNNNNNNNNNNNNNNNNNNNNNNNNNNNNNNNNNNNNNNNNNNNNNNNNNNNNNNNNNNNNNNNNNNNNNNNNNNNNNNNNNNNNNNNNNNNNNNNNNNNNNNNNNNNNNNNNNNNNNNNNNNNNNNNNNNNNNNNNNNNNNNNNNNNNNNNNNNNNNNNNNNNNNNNNNNNNNNNNNNNNNNNNNNNNNNNNNNNNNNNNNNNNNCAUCUCACUAUCUCAUAACAAACAUUGCUUUCUCUCAGUUACUUGCAGUUUUCCUCCUGUCUCCUUCAAAUUUCGGCAAUUGACAGGCAGCAAUGGUGUGCAUCAAGUAGAAGCAGAGCCUGUUUCAAUCCUUAGAUUCGUGUUGCGCCUCUGCCAUUUUUGCUGAGAGACUCCGCCGAGAGAGUUGAUUCAUCUAAUCGAUCAGCCCAUGCCAAGUUCACGUGCAUGUGUAUAUAUGUGUGACAGUGCUUGUUAUAAUGCAAUUUGUAUUACUAGGAGGUCAACUACCAUAUAUAUAUAUAUAAUGUACAUGAGGAUCCCAGAAGUCAAGAAUACGCUGAAGACGCCGUAGGACACAACGUUACAGAGAGACUAGCACCAAGCACCGAGCGACGAUACAUGUGCGAGACGGGAUUAAUAUAGGGAACACUGACAGAAGUCAGCGGGCUGCGACAUAGAUGCAGGGACGGAAACCUCAUAUCCAUUGUUUACUGUAUUUUUUUAUCUAUCUAUUUUUUACACUCAGAAACAACUGUGGAAUCGACCCAAAAUAGUGGAAUCAAAGGCCGAACGAAGUAUUAGCGCUCAUGCGCGAGGCAGAUAGCCAGCAGGCUGACUUCAAAAGCAGGAGCGGAGACCAGGGAGCUCGAUCCAUUGGACGAGAACGGCACUACCUCGAUCGAGGGCAGCCGAAUCACGAGCGGGUCCCGAUCUGGGCAUGCAAGGGCGGUCGGGUGUCCGGAGGACGCCCACGACUGGAGCCGGCGGCAGGGUGUGGAGAGGGCACCCUCGCCUAGAGAUAGCGGCGGCCGCGGCGGGAGGUGGGCGGGGCGGUCUCAGCCAGAAGUGGAGGCGUGGCGGCCGCGGCCGGAGGUGGAGGCAGCGACCUCGGCGAAAAGUGGAGGCGCGGCGGCCAUGGUAGGAGGUGGAGGUGGCGACCUCGGCGGGAAGUGGGCACUGCGGCCUCGGCGAGAGGUGGCGGCGCAGCAGAUGUGGCAGGAGGUGAAGGCGGCAACCUCGGCGUGAGGUGGGAGGUGGAGUUGCGGACCUGGAGCAGAUCGGUGAGAGAGCCGCCAGAUCGGGCCGGCCUGGAGCAGAGGAAAACAUCAACCACCGGCAAAAAAAGUGACGGUAGUGUGCGAGGUUGGAUCAGGAGGUGAGUUGCAAUGCCAAAAAAAACUCUGAACGUAGGCUCGAUAUCAUGUUAUAAUAUAAUUUGUAUUGAGGUAAAUACACAAGAGGUUUUAGAACUUGCGUGCGGCGGUUACUUUGAUGCACAAAGUUGUAAAAUACGUGUUUGUGGUCACUAAACUUGCGAGGCCAUUCAAAUACAGUCACUCUCACCGUACGCAUGCGUAUCCGUAGACGCCAGCAUGGCACGGGCCCCCUGUCAGCCACCGUAAUUGCUCUUGUAUGAUAGAUUUGUAGAAAAGCCCGCAGUUCUUUUUUUAUUUACAUAGGAACCCCUAAAAUAAUAAAAAUAGUGGGGCGGCGGGGUUCCAUACUUGGACGUACCGCUAAGUGGCACGAUUGAACAACCACCACGCCAACAGUAUCAUGUGUUUACUUUGCACUACUAUAUUAUACUGUAUAUCCUAUCCGAGUGGACCCAAAAAGUGAUAAUGAAGAAAUUUAUGUCUUCUAAUAAUAAGAAUGCAAAGUGCAACCGGUGGGUUCGAACCUGUGACAUGGAGAUUCACUCGCGCAUAAGCCAACCACCAAGCAACUGCGACAUGUGAUGUAAUUUAGAGAUAGACAAUGUAUAUGUUUUUAUCACUCUUGUUCUCUAUAAGUAUGUGCCAUUUUAAAAAAUGUUUAAACAUUGUCAAAAAUGUUCGUGUAAUUCAAAAUAUGUUCAUGCAAUAGAAAAACUACGCGAACAGUUUUUUGAACCAUGCGAGCAUAAUUGUACAUUGUGUAAAACUCACAAUUUUUUUUGAAAUGUGUCAACAUUUUUUAAAUGCAAUGUACAUUUCUUAAUUUACAUGAAUAUUUUUCACAGUGUUUAAACAUUUUUAUAAAUGCCAUGUAGUUUUUUUAACGCAUGUACAUAUUUUGAAUUGCACAAACAAUAUUAUUUGAAAAUAAUACAUGAACUAUUUUUUCUGAUCCACGAAUUUCUCAAAUAAAACGAAUAGGUGUUAUUAUGAAUAUUUAAAAACUAUUUGUGUUAUUAUUAUGCAAACAUUUUUAUAAUUCAUAAGUAUUAUUUUAGAAGAAUACAUGAAAAUUAUUUGAAAUUAUCUUAUUAAUGGCAUUAUAAUUUGCAUACUAUCUACAAAUUUCUGAAAAAUAAACAAGUGCAAAAUGGGUCGCUGGACCACAGCCCAUUUCUGUUCCAUGAGCGCUUCCGUUUUUGUACAUUAAUCUUAGUUACUCUUAAUAGCUGUCUACAGAUGUGUGGCGCAGUUUGUGUGACCUGUAUUGUACUAGUAUUAGGUCGGGGUUCGAGAUCUGGCAGUUAAACUUUUUGUCCCAUCGAUUGUUGAUUUUUUAUUUUGCAUAGAAGAAGAAGAAGAAGGGGUUUUGUGCAAAAAUGCGUCCAUGUGUCAUUGACAGCGGGCCCAUGCCAUGCUGGCAUCGACGGAUACGCUCGCGUACAGAGAGAGUGACUGUAUUUGAACAGUCUCGCAAGUUUAGUGGCCCUAAACACGUAUUUUGCAACUUUGUGCACCAAAGUGACCGCCGCAUGCAAGUUCUAAGACCUCUGGUGUAUUUACCUCAAUACAAAUUCACCAUAUAUAUGAUGUACACGAGGAUGCCAAAAGUCGAGAAUACAAAAGAGUAAAGGCCACCAUCAAUCUUUCCCUAAUAAUAAAUUGCUUAUUAUUCAGGCCGUACGUCAUCAGCCUUUUCGCAAAAAAUUCAGCGCUUUCUGAGAAAUUAACCAGUAGUCCUACAUAAAGUGUGCUACUCAUGGAUAACGUCUCUUUUUUGUAAAAAAAAAACCCUGCCACCACUGGCCACCUCCACCACUUAUCCAUUGUCUGCCUCCACUGAACCGCCGGGCAUGCCGUGCUGCUUGCCACCGGCGUCAACACCGCAGAAGCCAAGGCAAGGGGAUGCGUCGCAACGGGCGUCCGCGCCACCUGAGCCCAGGAAUAGGGUGAGGCAUCGCGGCGGUCCGAGGCGUCGUGGUGGGCAUUGGAGGGCGCGGCGCCCCAUUCCUAGUGCACCAUCAAUAUAAUUAUAACAACGCUACUAUAGAUCAAUCCAGGUGCUUAUGUGCUAGCUCUUGCACGUACGUACAUACAACUUAUGUGGUGAUUUGAUCUUGUGGUCUAGAAACCAUCAAGGAGAAUAGACGAGCGCGUCCGUGUGUGUGUGUGUGUGUGUGUGUGUGUGUGUGUGUGUGUGGAAGGAGGGAGGAGUCUAUUCAUGAGUUAGGCCGAUGCUUAGUAGUAAAUUUUCUUUUUGAGUUUUGGAAGGGGGGAGGGUUCGUGCCCCCCUUUGGCCUCCGUGAGCCUCCGCCAGUGCCAAAGGUCACAUCCUAGGUUUUCACCCUGAAGAUCAAGUCAAAACAACUUUAAGCAAUGCAUUGAAAAAGGUAACGACAAAUGACCCAAAAACACUGUCAUUGCUAGGUAUAACCCACUAGAGUUAGACCUAGGGUUUUCACCUCAAAACUCGAGAUUAGCUACUCGAUAAGCACCACUAAAUCCUAGUACCUAUGAUCCAAAACUUGCUAUGAUCCUAGUAGCUAAACGCAUGCACAAUUAUAACGUGUGGAGCCACACUAAUGAUGACCGUGCCCGCACAAGCAGGAACGCAAACUGUGACAAGAGUUAGUUGCCACCAAAGGCUCAGGAUGGCGAAGGAAACUGUCAUACAUAAAAUAAAGAUUGAUGAGGGAGGAAGGUCAUCGACACUGCCAAACUUCCACUUCGGGAUGCUCCGACAUCCCCACACAUUCCUCAUGAAUGACAUUCGGUGGAAGAUCCACAUAGCACCAUUAAAUUACAUGGAGCUGCAAUGAUAUUCACAUCACAUUGAUCAGAGCGUCACAUCAGCUAUCAUAUAAACAUUUUCUACCAACCACGCCAUUAAAGAAUGUACGAACAUUCCACCAUGACAAAUAAUGACUCCAACAAAUGUGCACACAAUAGAUUCUUAAGCCUAGAGAAAGUAUGAAGGGAAUAAAUGUCCAACAGUUAAACAUAUGGAAUCCAACAUGAAAGAUUAUACUAUAUAAAUCUUAAUGGGAAAGGGCAAAAGGAAACCACAUCUUCCUUUGAGGUAGAUUAUCUUGCUAAUAAGAUUAAUGCAGCCAUUUGUCGCAUAUUGCUUACUGAACCUCCAACCUCUACCAUCCUACUUCUUGAGGUCACAUGAAGGCAAGAGGAGAUGGGGACACACAACUAACAUACCCUGUGCAAGAUGAAGUAGAGAGGAGUGAGAGAGGAUGGCCGUGAGCCAUAUCGGCUCGAGGAUAUGCACGAGGAUGAUAUGGCGAUGCAAGGGAGAGAGGAGGCACAUGACAAGCAAGAGAGGAAGGAGCUAGGUUUUGUUGAUGAGUUGGUAGUUGGUAUACUAUGCUUUUAUUGUCAUUGAGACGCAAUCAUAUCCUCUAUUUGCAUCUCAUAAACGGAUCCAACUAAUAGGAAAAGGGCCAUUGAUGUAGAGUCAUUUGGUAGCCUGUAUAGUGGUAGUUAGACUACAUCUGGAAGGAAUCUUUUGCUUCAAGCGGUGUUUAAUUGCUCGAAUUGCAUUAGAUUCUUGUAUCACACGUUGUUUAAAGCAUUUCGGAGGCAGGCUAAGGAGGAAAGACUGAAUCAGCUGUUUCCACUAAUGCAGGCUUGUGCAGACCACAAGGUGAGAAAGAUUCUCUUCUUUUUUGUGGCAGGAUGCAUCCUCAUCUCACAGUGCAUGCGGGAAGCCGCCGCUACGAAACAAGACACCAUGCGUGCUACCAAACCCCACUAACCACCAUGGAGGGGCCCAAACUACAUGCUUAGAUCGUUUCUUGCAUAAUUUUUUCUCUACCAAACCCCAACCAGUCUGACUCGUUUCCCUCAUGCAGCCCGGUGCAAUUGCUGUAGUCUACCAAAUAUCCCCUUACUGCUCCUGUGGGUGUUGAAUGUACCACCACAUAUAGCUUUACCAAUGUUGGCCAUUCUAUCACACUAAAAUAAUGUGAGGUGGCUGCAUUGCUUUGUCUAGAAGAUUCACGCCUUCCAAUACAAACUGAUGUACUAUCCUUAGAGCAUGGUUGAUAAUAUAGCUAGUUGCUGCCUAUAACUAGUUGCCAUGUCAUCUAUUUCCAAUGUAAUAGUCCAGACGUAUAAUACUUGGCUUUCACAAAGUACUACUUUAUCAACACAUGGCCCAUCUUUCACUCUAACAAACCUUCUUGGAGUUUGUGCGAUAGCCCACUUCUCUUUUAUUUCUUCCAACUCAGCAAUAAUAUAAUAUUUAAAUCCUUACAGCCUGCUUAUGUCACCUAAUUAUAAUUGCUCUUACAAUGGUGUAGACCUAUUGUUAUAGCUCGUCUCUUGGCAUCAACAUGAAUGUUCGUGCAAGAUUGACAAGAAGAAAAUUUCUUUGAUUAUCAAGAAAAGUUAAAAGAAGUCCUUGAACUUUGAAUGCACAGUGCCUCAGCCACACGAGCACCGGACUUUUGUUUUCUUUAGAAAAACACUAACGGCCCAUCCCGCAACCCAUUGACGGCCCAACCCCUAACGGAAGAAAACCGAAGUUCCAUGCUCGUAGCCAUAGGUUUCAAUCCCCUUGCUCCUGGCUAGAGGCUCGACGAAACCGCCAGCCAUCUUACACCGCCAUGUUCAUCCCGUCCGAUCGCUCCCAUUUCCACUCAUGAAUGUUGCGUCUCAACUCUCAACUCGUGUCCAGUAGACAGUGCAUCAGCAUCCGACCACCAUCGCAGACUCCUUCACCGAUACCCUGACCUCCCUAUCUAUCUUCUUUCAUUGCUGGUCUUCCUGUCAUCCCACGGCGGCAUGGCGGCUGAGAGGCUCACCAACGAUCUUCUCGUGGAGAUCCUCUCACGUGUCUCGGCACAGUCUUUGUGCCGCUUCAAGUCCGUCUCCAAGCAUUGGCUCAGCCUCAUCGACCACCACGAUCACUACAGGAAGCUCCCUCAAACCCUAGCCGGAUUCUUCUACACUAGGAGUGACAAUGGGCAGUUGCCUCUGAAAACAAAAGUCUGCUUUGCCAGUGUCUCAGGGAAAUGCUUCCCUCCAGUCAACACCUCUUUCACCUUUCUGCACAGCCCCCGACGUGUCGAUCUACUGGAUUGCUGCAAUGGUCUCCUCCUCUGUCGCUGGUAUGACAUUUCUACUCCGGAUGAUGAGUUAUGCUAUAUCGUGUGUAAUCCAGCCAGGGAGGAGUGGUCAAGUUGCCGGACAUUAGUCAUGCUGACAAUGUGCGAGCACUGCGUUUGGGUUUUGAUCCGGCUGUGUCUGCCCACUUCUAUGUGUUUGCAUUGUUGGAGGAUGUCCAUUUUAAAUUUUACCUUGCCGGAGUGGAAGUGUAUUCAUUGGAAACCAAAAUAUGAGUUUACAAGGAAAUUGGAUGGAACAAAAGAAUCAAGCUUCCUUCUUGGCAGUCCGAUGAUGUCUUCCUCAACGGCUUUUUGCAUUUUUAUGCCUCUGGUAAAAGUUCAUAGUUUUAUAUUGUUGGCGGACGCGGUAUUUCAAAAAAUUUCCUACGAUCACGCAAGAUCUAUCUAGAAGAUGCAUAGCAAUGAGAAGGGAGAGUGUGUCCACGUACCCUCAUAGACCAAAAGCUGAAGCGUUUAGUAACGCGGUUGAUGUAGUUGAACGUCUUCGCGAUCCAACCGAUCCAAGCACCGAACGUAUGGCACCUCCGUGUUCAGCACACGUUCAGCUCGAUGACGUCCCUCGUUCUCUUGAUCUAAUUGAGGACGAGGGAGAGUUUCAUCAGCACGGCGGCAUGAUGACGGUGAUGAUGAAGUUACCAGUGCAGGGCUUCGUCUGAGCACUAUGACGAUAUGACCGAGGUGUGUAAUAGUGGAGGGGGGCACCGCACACGGCUAAGACUAGACUUGGUGUGCCUUUGGGGUUCCCCCUCCCACAUAUAUAAAGGGGGAGGAGAGGUGGCUGGCCCUAGGGGCGCGCCAUGGGGGUUCCUACUUGGACUCCCGGCCGAAGUAGGAUCCGGUCCCCCCCUUUCCUAUUCCAAGUAGGAGAAGAAGGGAAGGAGGAAGAGGAGAGAAGGAAGGAGGGGGGUGCCGCCCCCACCCCUUGUCCAAUUUGAAGGAAAUAUGCCCUAGAGGCAAUAAUAAAGUUGUUAUUUAUAUUUCCUUAUAUCAUGAUAAAUGUUUAUUAUUCAUGCUAGAAUUGUAUUAACCGAAAACUUAGUACAUGUGUGAAUACAUAGAAAAACAGAGUGUCCCUAGUAUGCCUCUACUUGACUAGCUCGUUAAUCAAAGAUGGUUAAGUUUCCUAGCCAUGGACAUGUGUUGCCAUUUGAUGAACGGGAUCAAAUCAUUGGAGAACGAUGUGAUGGACUAGACCCAUCUAUUAGCUUAGCACUAUGAUCGUUUAGUUUAUUGUUAUUGCUUUCUUCAUGACUUAUACAUGUUCCUAUUACUAUGAGAUUAUACAACUUCCGAAUACCGGAGGAACACUUAGUGUGCUGUCAAAUGUCACAACUUAACUGGGUGAUUAUAAAGAUGCUCUACAGGUGUCUCCGAUGGUGUUUGUUGAGUUGGUAUAGAUCGAGAUUAGGAUUUGUCACUCCGAUUGUCGGAGAGGUGUCUCUGGGCCCUCUCGGUAAUGUACAUAACUAUAAGUCUUGGAAGCAAUGUGAUUAAUGAGUUAGUUACGAGAUGAUGCAUUACGGAACGAGUAAAGACACUUGCCGGUGACGAGAUUGAACUAGGUAUGAUGAUACACUACUAGGGAAAAGCUUAUAGGUAUACGCUUACUAGUAGAGUGGGUUUAUACCCCCCGCUACUGCUACAUACUAGUAGCGCGGGUUUAUAACACCCGCUACUACUAAAUUGAUAGUAGUAGCGCGUGUUUAUAACCCUUCCUACUACUAAGUGGUCUCUGACGUGCCCCCCGCCCCCCCGGGACAUGUCAUAGUAGUAGCGUGGGGUACAAAUUGGCGCUACUACUAAAUAAAUUGCUAUAGCGUAGGUGAGACACCCACGCUACUACUUACUACUGCACCAUCCACCAGAUCCACUCCCACCCACCACUCUUCUCAUUCCCUUCUCCUCACAGCCGCCACGCCUCCUGCUCCUACGCCGGCGCCGGCUCCUCCAUCUCCCCAGCUCAGUCCAGCCCUCAUCCGACCAAAGUAGGAGCUGACCGACCGAGUGAGUUGCCCAAACAUAAAGUCCACCAUGGAGAUGGCCUUCUUCUCCGCCGCCUCACUCUUCCACGCUGAUGACGACAGCGACUACGACGGUGGCGGCACACGAGGUAAAUUAAACCCAGGCCAUGUUCGCGUUCCUGUCCAUUCUGUCACCCACCUUGUGCUCCUAGCUGACGAACCCCUUUCCUGCACCCCCUUUCCGGCGAUUAAAGACGAGGCGCAGGUGGGUGCCGAGGGGGAGACCCAGCAGCCGGCGCUGGAGUACGAGGAGAGGAUCAACAAGUUCCCCGGCAUGGUAAAAUUACCAACCUAACUCUGAUUCCUAGUUAAUUUCGCUACUGUCCUAAUCACUCUGCGAACAAGCAGAUCGACUAGAAACCUUAUGUUUGCUGUCCAGUGUCAAUGCUGGAGCUCGAAACCCUGGAAGCACACUGAACCUCAUGAAUAGACCUGAAUAUUUGUUUUAGGUAGAUGCUUGACCAUUAUGCUUUGGGAGAGUGCACACGAGUCUACCAUCUGAAAUUGUAGUUGACCAAUCUAAUUUGGCAUGACCAGUUGUAGCGUCUCGGUGAUAAAAGGGUUAACAAUAUCGAGGGAUUUUGUUUAUUCUUCUUCUAAAGAUGAUUGUCAACCUUUGCAUUUUCCGCAGGUUGCAAUUCGUGUAGCACAAAGUAGUAUAUUUAUUGGUCCAUAUGUUGAUCUGAAUGUCUGAAUCUCACAUUAUGUCACUAUAAAUGUCGUUUUGGACUUUUAUAUGGUCCUCCAGUGUACCGUUUGACAUAAUUUUUCUUGAAAAUAUGCUUCGCCGAAUAAAAUAGGCACAUAUAAGAAGAGUACAUUUCAUUAGGCUUGUUUUAUCGGUUUGGUCUUAUAGAUGGUUGAGGGGAGAGACGACACUGCUGGUUUGCUGAAGUGGUAGGUUGCCAUUCAGUUAAGUCCCCAAUACUCUUCUUCCAUGGGCUCCAGAAUUUACUUGUAUUAGGGAGUUAGCCGAGCCAUAUUUAACCUGGUGAAGACAAGAUUACGACUUUAGUACAUUGAUAGUCAACAGAAGAACACAACUAAAAUAUGCGCAAAAGUUAGUUAGGCUGUACCCAGAAGCUGUAGAGACUGUUUGGGUGUGAUUCCUGUCGGUGGACUGAUGAAAUUUUUGGUAGAGAAAUUCAGGCAUGUAGUUGGAUGGAUGAAUAUACCUUGCAUACAUCUCUAGGAUUUACAGAAUGAAGCUAACAAUUGCUUGAGCCUACUAUGUUAUAUAUGUUAGGAGUAUCCUCGGCCAGGUUAAUAACUAAUGAUCUGAAUUGCUCGAAUAGCUGCAAACUUGUGG